GAUGAACGCUGGCGGCGUGCCUAAUACAUGCAAGUCGAGCGAACAGACGAGGAGCUUGCUCCUCUGACGUUAGCGGCGGACGGGUGAGUAACACGUGGAUAACCUACCUAUAAUACUGGGAUAACUUCGGGAAACCGGAGCUAAUACCGGAUAAUAUAUUGAACCGCAUGGUUCAAUAGUGAAAGACGGUUUUUGUGUCACUUAUAGAUGGAUCUGCGCCGCAUUAGCUAGUUGGUAAGGUAACGGCUUACUAAGGCAACGAUGGGUAGCCGACCUGAGAGAGUGGUAGGCCGCACGAGAAGUGAGACGGGGACAAGGGUCCUAAGAGACGCAGCAGAAGGCUAUCGUCCGCAAUGGGCGGGAGCAUGACAGAGCAACGCCGAGUGAGAGAUAGAGGUCUUCGGAUCGGAAUACUCUGUUACUAGGGGAGAACCACUGUGUAAGUAACUGAGGAGGUCUUGACGGUACCUAAUCAGAAAGCCACGGCUAACUACGUG
This 497-nucleotide ribosomal RNA is filed under the name uncultured bacterium. RNAcentral's name for it is "partial 16S ribosomal RNA". It matches the Rfam family "Bacterial small subunit ribosomal RNA", at positions 28 to 507 of the family's 1533-position model. The record is from RNAcentral.